UACGGGGGGGGCAAGCGUUGUUCGGAAUUACUGGGCGUAAAGGGUUCGUAGGUGGCCCGCUAAGUCAGACGUGAAAUCCCUCAGCUCAACUGGGGAACUGCGUCUGAGACUGGUGGGCUUGAGUGCAGGAGAGGAACGCGGAAUUCCAGGUGUAGCGGUGAAAUGCGUAGAUAUCAGGAGGAACACCUGUGGUGUAGACGGCUUACUGGACCAUGACUGACGCUGAGGCACGAAAGCGUGGGGAGCAAACAGG
This 253-nucleotide ribosomal RNA is filed under the name uncultured bacterium. RNAcentral describes it as "partial 16S ribosomal RNA". It matches the Rfam family "Bacterial small subunit ribosomal RNA", at positions 524 to 776 of the family's 1533-position model. The record is from RNAcentral.